AUGGCCGAAGACCACAAGCUGUACUACCGCUCGGGGAGCGGUACUACCGCUUGGGGAGCGGUACUACCGCUCUGCGAGCGGUACUACCGCUUGAGUGCUUCGGCGGUACUACCGCUGUGGACCGCGGUACUACCUCUGGCGCCAUCCUUAAGCCACUACCGCGAAAACAACGUAUACUCCAAGGAAACCAAAACUGCCAUAACUUCUGCAAAUGAGCUCCAAAUUGAGCAAACUCAAGCUUGUUAUAGUAAGAAGAGGCAGGGGAGCCAAACAAGAACCAAUAAAGAUGAUGCAAGGAUGAAAUGGGUUGAGCUCUCUACAAACGAUACGAUCAAGCAACUCAUCGAGAGCCCCCCUUGA
Molecule: ribosomal RNA, 360 nt
Filed under: Triticum aestivum (bread wheat)
Lineage: Eukaryota; Viridiplantae; Streptophyta; Magnoliopsida; Poales; Poaceae
Description: partial small subunit ribosomal RNA
Source: RNAcentral